This 630-nucleotide long non-coding RNA is filed under the name Dromaius novaehollandiae (emu). Its description in RNAcentral is "lncRNA (ENSDNVG00000012411.1)". Lineage: Eukaryota; Metazoa; Chordata; Aves; Casuariiformes; Dromaiidae. The record is from RNAcentral.
CGCGGCUGCUGCUGCCAGAGCGUUAAGCUUAAACGUAAUCCCGCUGGUUUUUCUUAUGCUUAGAGUAAAAGCUUUUCUUUUACUGAGAUGUAMUAGUUUUGCCGAUGCUCUUAAAAAUGGCUUUACAAGUUUACAGAGAUUAGAAAUACAUUUUUCUGGCAUCAAAAAUGGGGCUGUCGUUUAAUUUAAAAAGAAGAUGCAAACGAGCUGUUAAACCCGGUUAGCAAGCGCUUACAGUCUUUGAUUAGCUUGCUGUUACCUGGCAUCAGAACUGAUCAAGGAGUACUUCCCUGGGCACUCCAGAUCUUUUGGGCCACAUGAGGGAAAAUAAAGACAAGCAAGGACUCUUUAAGAGCAGACUGAUUUCAUUCCAGGAGGCAGGACCAGAAGAAGGUGAGCAAGGUCUGGCCGUGACCCUCAGCAACAAAUAUCAAGGGAUCACAAUAUGCAAAGGAUCACAGGGUUUGGCCUCAGUGGAAGGGCGUGAGCUUUGUGGAUGCCCAGGACUGUACAGAUUACCACACUCUGUAUCUCGUCAAAUCUAUGCUGACAUUCAUAGUCUGAAAAAAUAGACCAUUGUGUGCUACAAGACUGACAAGAAAUAUGUCAAUAAAUAAAUCCAGGAAGUCA